RNAcentral lists this ribosomal RNA (649 nucleotides) under uncultured bacterium. RNAcentral's name for it is "bacterial SSU rRNA". It matches the Rfam family "Bacterial small subunit ribosomal RNA", at positions 43 to 681 of the family's 1533-position model. The record is from RNAcentral.
CAGGCCUAACACAUGCAAGUCGAACGGAAACGAUGCUAGCUUGCUAGCAGGCGUCGAGUGGCGGACGGGUGAGUAACACGUGGGAAUCUGCCUAUUAGUGGGGGAUAAGCUGGGGAAACCCAGUCUAAUACCGCAUACGCACUACGGUGGAAAGGGGCCCUCUCCUUGGAAGGUCUCGCUAAUAGAUGAGCCCGCGUCAGAUUAGCUAGUUGGUGGGGUAAAGGCCCACCAAGGCGACGAUCCGUAGCUGGUCUGAGAGGAUGAUCAGCCACACUGGGACUGAGACACGGCCCAGACUCCUACGGGAGGCAGCAGUAGGGAAUAUUGGACAAUGGAGGAAACUCUGAUCCAGCCAUGCCGCGUGUGUGAAGAAGGCCCUAGGGUUGUAAAGCACUUUCAGUAGGGAGGAAACGCCUACGGUUAAUACCCGUGGGCUAUGACGUUACCUACAGAAGAAGCACCGGCUAAUUUCGUGCCAGCAGCCGCGGUAAUACGAAAGGCGCAAGCGUUAAUCGGAAUUACUGGGCGUAAAGCGUACGUAGGCGGUUGAUUAAGCAGGAUGUGAAAGCCCCGAGCUCAACUUGGGAACUGCAUCCUGAACUGGUCAACUAGAGUACAGCAGAGGAGAGUGGAAUUUCUCGUGUAGCGG